RNAcentral lists this small RNA (84 nucleotides) under Salix viminalis (osier). Lineage: Eukaryota; Viridiplantae; Streptophyta; Magnoliopsida; Malpighiales; Salicaceae. The record is from RNAcentral.
AUGCAGUGAUGAGUCUUAUUUUUUGACCGAGUUUCUGAGAAUACAUGAUGUUUGAGAACUCAACUCUCAAAAGGUUAUGAUCAA